Molecule: ribosomal RNA, 200 nt
Filed under: uncultured bacterium
Lineage: Bacteria
Description: partial 16S ribosomal RNA
Rfam family: Bacterial small subunit ribosomal RNA
Source: RNAcentral
AACGAACGCUGGCGGCGGGCUUAACACAUGCAAGUCGAGCGCCCCGCAAGGGGAGCGGCAGACGGGUGAGUAACGCGUGGGAAUCUACCCAUCUCUACGGAAUAACUCAGGGAAACUUGUGCUAAUACCGUAUACGCCCUUUUGGGGAAAGAUUUAUCGGAGAUGGAUGAGCCCGCGUUGGAUUAGCUAGUUGGUGGGGU